Molecule: ribosomal RNA, 252 nt
Filed under: uncultured bacterium
Lineage: Bacteria
Description: partial 16S ribosomal RNA
Rfam family: Bacterial small subunit ribosomal RNA
Source: RNAcentral
UACGGAGGAUGCGAGCGUUAUCCGGAUUUAUUGGGUUUAAAGGGUGCGUAGGCGGACGCUUAAGUCAGCGGUAAAAUUGCGGGGCUCAACCUCGUCGAGCCGUUGAAACUGGGUGCCUUGAGUGGGCGAGAAGUACGCGGAAUGCGUGGUGUAGCGGUGAAAUGCAUAGAUAUCACGCAGAACUCCGAUUGCGAAGGCAGCGUACCGGCGCCCUACUGACGUUGAAGCACGAAGGCGUGGGUAUCGAACAGG